Salvia splendens (bonfire salvia) is the source of this 102-nucleotide small nuclear RNA. Lineage: Eukaryota; Viridiplantae; Streptophyta; Magnoliopsida; Lamiales; Lamiaceae. The record is from RefSeq and is a predicted model, not a curated record.
GUUCCUUUGUGGACGGACGUCUGAUCAAAUUGGAGCCAUAUACAGAAGAUUAGCACAUGCACAAGAAUGGCACACAAAAAUCAAGAAAUGAACUAUUAUUAG